GGUAAUUCUGGAGCUAAUACAUGCAUAAAAGAUAUAACAUUAAUUGUUAUAUUGCGUAUAUUAGUAUUAAAACCAAGCAUUCUUCGGAAUGUUUUGUGUUGAACCUGAAUAUAUCUGCUGAUCGUAUAGUCUUGUACUGACGAUAUGUCAUUCAAGUGUCUGAUCUAUCAACUUUCUAUAUAAGUAUAUAGUACUUAUAUGGUUUUGACGGAUAACGGAGUAUUAGGGUACGACUCCGGAGAAAAUGCCUGAGAAACGGCGUUUACAUCCAAGGAAGGCAGCAGGCGCGAAAAUUACCCACUCUCAGUUCGAGGAGGUAGUGACGAGAAAUGACAAGAUCUAUUCCUUCGGGGAUGGAUCAUUGGAAUGGUUUGAUUUUAAAAUCAUUAAAGAGUAUCAAUGAGAGGGCAA
RNAcentral lists this ribosomal RNA (411 nucleotides) under Panagrolaimus sp. ES1. Its description in RNAcentral is "SSU rRNA". It matches the Rfam family "Eukaryotic small subunit ribosomal RNA", at positions 151 to 558 of the family's 1831-position model. The record is from RNAcentral. RNAcentral also lists the same sequence under 1 other name. Lineage: Eukaryota; Metazoa; Nematoda; Chromadorea; Rhabditida; Panagrolaimidae.